Ictalurus punctatus (channel catfish) is the source of this 2658-nucleotide long non-coding RNA. NCBI's taxonomy places the organism in Eukaryota, Metazoa, Chordata, Actinopteri, Siluriformes, Ictaluridae. The record is from Ensembl.
AGACAUCACUGCGAAAGAGCGCGCGAAACAAUUUCGUGCGAUUGCGAUUUCGGCAGUUUACGUAGUUUUUCCGCAGAAAAAUGUUUAAAAAACCACCGCAAAUUUGCCGAUGCAGCAAAAUCGAGCAUUUUAUGUGUCGUGUAAUCAGGAUGGCGACGGACGCAAACGCAGUUAAAGCGUUUAAUGAGAGACAGGCAGACAAAUCCAAAACGCGAGGCAACAUUGAUUUCCAGAAAACAGGCGAGGGUCAGGCAAUCUACAAACGAUAUAAACUAGGCUCGACAAGGAGCAAAAACGAGAAACAACGAACGGGAACGAGACGAGAAACGAAGCACGGAACGGCUCGGUAGAACACUAGCAGCCAAACGCAGAAACAAUACUUCGCCCUGAACAAAGACACAAGGGGGUAUAAAUACACAACGAAAUCAAAGCUAAAACAUAAACAGCUGUGAAUAACGACCUCACGUGAGGGAGACGUCCAAUAACACGACAGGGGCGGAGACACGAAAUGACCACCCGGAAGCUUGCGAUGUCGUGCUACUGGCUGUUGAGGGCAAAUCUCUGACAUUUUGGCCUCAAUAAUCAUAAUCGCUCCUUUAUGGACCGAUUUCUCACAGUGGCUGUUGAUAAGGUGGUUGGGCAGGUUGUGCACUAAGUAUAGGGUCGGCGGUUCGAUUCCCGGCCCACGUGACUCCACAUACCAAAGUGUCGUUGGGCAAGACACUGAACCCCAAGUUGCUCCCCAUGGCAAGUUAGCACCUUGCAUGGCAGCUCUGCUACCAUUCACAAUUACAAUCGGCUUGUAGCUACGUGUGUCGCGAAAGUAUAUAACAAACAUGAUCAUAAACACAAAUUUAUCCCACUGCACAUGCAAAUUAGCGCUUGUUAUUUUGUAUUUUAAUGACUCGGGGUGUACAUUUUGCAUCGGUUUGUUUGGGAUGUGCGACGGUUGGUCACUUGUACAAAACCUUUCUUUAUGCAUCACUUACGAACACUUCACCGUGAGCGGAAAAUCAAAUGGGAUCUUUGUGUGCGGCGUCUUUAUUCGUUUUCCCACAUCUACUCUUUCAUCGCAGUCUCACUCUCCUGCUGCUUUUUGUCGUAUUAAAAUGUUCAGUCUCAGACAGAUGUGUGUGUGUGUGUGUGUGUGUGUGUGUGUGUGCGUAUGCAUUCACCGUUCAGCGUUCAGCAUGAUCAGUUUGAAGAUGACUUCUACUAAAGCGAAAGCGCUCUGCUGCCCUGAGGUUAAAAUCCCCAAGCAAAGGAGGCAAAGAGACAGUGACGGAGUGACAGCGAGACGACAACAGUGAACGAGGGCAGACAGACAGACGGGUGAAAAACGCAACACCGAUGCGAUGUAGACCAUCAGAUGUACACAGAUGCCAGAAAACGUAUCAUAACAUCACAUCACAUAAGAUUAACACAAGUGCUUUCACUUUGAAGGUACAAAAGUGGCAAGUGUUUAUACUCUGCUCAAUUCUGAUUGGUCAGAAGGUGCUGAUUCAUUUUCUAUAGCAGCAGCGCUGAGGGUAGUGCAUCAUCAUGCCACCAUUUCAUCGAAUAUAUUCCUAUAACAGCAUGACGCCCAAUGAUUUAGUCCUGCAUUAAUUUAGUCCUGGGUUACUGAAUGGAAGGUCGGGGGUUCAAGCCCCAGCACUGCCAGGCUCCGGGUUACUGAUUGGAAGGUCGGGGGUUCAAGCCCCAGCACUGGCAGGCUCUGGGUUACUGAUCGGAAGGUCGGGGGUUCAUGCCCCAGCACUGCCAGGCUCUGGGUUACUGAUCGGAAGGUCGGGGGUUCAUGCCCCAGCACUGCCAGGCUCCGGGUUACUGAUUGGAAGGUCGGGGGUUCAAGCCCCAGCACUGGCAGGCUCUGGGUUACUGAUCGGAAGGUCGGGGGUUCAUGCCCCAGCACUGGCAGGCUCUGGGUUACUGAUCGGAAGGGUCGGGGGUUCAUGCCCCAGCACUGCCAGGCUCUGGGUUACUGAUUGGAAGGUCCGGGGUUCAAACCCUGGUGCAGCCAAGCUGCCACUGUUGGGACCUUUAGCAAGGGGCCCUUAACUCCCUCUGCUCCAUGGCUGACCCUACACUCUGACUUUCUGGUAAGCUGAGGUAUGUGAAGAAAAGAAUUUCACUGUGCUGUAAUGUACAGAUGACUCAUUAUCGUUAUCGCUUGCUCACUUCUUCCAAGUUUAGUAUGACAUUGGAUCUAGGUUCCAUAAUGCCGUGCGUGUUCGUAUUUGUGUCUCCAACCUUUUACCACUCCAGACUAUUGAGCUAGGCUAAUGAGCCCAUUUAGGAUGGUCACAGUAUUAAGUAAGUGCGAGUGAGCCGUGACUCAUGUCUACUUCAUCACUUUCUGUUUGCUUUGGAUUAGACAACGUGAUCCUGUCGCUAAUCCGUCCUCAGCUCUCUCCCAAUCCCUGCGUAAACAGAGCCAGAUUAAUACCGAAGUGUCCUAAGAGACACAAUCCUGUAAAAAGGUUAUUCAAAUACACUCCCAAGACCCGGUUUGACUCCCAUUAGUUAUCAAAAGCAAAUAGAACGAAUUUGCAUAUUCGAUCGUGUAUCUAAAACCGCGAACACUAAGCUUUCACACUGGAGAAUCCUUACAUAAAUGACCAAUCAGAAUCCAGAAUUCACAAACGUUGUAAAUACCAG